AGGUCACAAGUUUGAAGCCAUAGCAGCAGCGUUCAUGGUGUAGCCAUGUCAGGUUCCAAUGAAUCUGUGAAUUCUGCU
RNAcentral lists this ribozyme (78 nucleotides) under Crocodylus porosus (Australian saltwater crocodile). RNAcentral's name for it is "Mammalian CPEB3 ribozyme (ENSCPRG00005018115.1)". It matches the Rfam family "Mammalian CPEB3 ribozyme". From Rfam's summary of the family: The mammalian CPEB3 ribozyme is a self cleaving RNA located in the second intron of the CPEB3 gene which belongs to a family of genes regulating messenger RNA polyadenylation. This ribozyme is highly conserved and found only in mammals. The record is from Rfam by way of RNAcentral. Lineage: Eukaryota; Metazoa; Chordata; Crocodylia; Crocodylidae.